Parus major (Great Tit) is the source of this 1585-nucleotide long non-coding RNA. The record is from Ensembl. Lineage: Eukaryota; Metazoa; Chordata; Aves; Passeriformes; Paridae.
AACCCGGCGGAACCCAGCGGAACCCAUCGGAACCUGGCAGAACUCAUCAGAACCCAUCGGAACCCAUCAGAACCCGGCAGAACUCAUCAGAACCCAGCGGAACCCAGCGGAACCCAUCAGAACCCCACAGAACCCGGCCGAACCCCGCAGAACCCCACAGAACCCAUCAGAACCCCGCAGAACCCGGCAGAACCCAGCAGAACCCAUCAGAACCCAGCAGAACCCGGCAGAACCCGGCAGAACCCAGCAGAACCCCACAGAACCCAUCAGAACCCCGCAGAACCCGGCAGAACCCAGCAGAACCCCGCAGAACCCAUCAGAACCCGGCAGAACCCGGCAGAACCCCGCAGAACCCAUCAGAACCCCGCAGAACCCAUCAGAACCCAGCAGAACCCAGCAGAACCCAGCAGAACCCCGCAGAACCCCGCAGAACGAUUCAGAACCCAUCAGAACCCGGCAGAACCCCGCAGAACCCAUCAGAACCCCGCAGAACCCAUCAGAACGAUUCAGAACCCAUCAGAACGAUUCAGAACCCAUCAGAACCCCGCAGAACCCAGCAGAACCCAUCAGAACCCAGCAGAACCCGGCAGAACCCGGCAGAACCCGGCAGAACCCGGCAGAACCCGGCAGAACCCGGCAGAACCCGGCAGAACCCGGCAGAACCCAGCAAAACCCAUCAGAACCCCGCAGAACCCAGCAGAACCCCGCAGAACCCAGCAGAACCCCGCAGAACCCGGCAGAACCCAGCAGAACCCAGCAGAACCCAGCAGAACCCAGCAGAACCCCGCAGAACCCGAAGCCGGUGAGCGCUGCUCGCUCCCGGAGCUGCCGGGGCUCUGCAGUCCCGGCCGGGCUCUCGGAGCUCCUGGAAUCGCUUUGAGCAGGAGGUGCCUGCCCCUGCUGCUCUGGCAUGGAGGGGAGAAGUGACCCAGCAUUCAAGCUAUGCCCAGCCUGCCUGGAGCAGCCUUAUCCCUGGAGAAAGAAUCCUUCACCCAGUGACCAGAGGAGGCUUUGGUAAGAGGAAUUAGAGUUAAAAAUCGUAUGCUACUGAAAGUGGGGUUGGAAUCUUUUCUGUGGAGCUUUCCUGUGGGUCCUCAUGGUGGUGUAAAUGUGCUGUUGUGCCUCUAGAAGGGAAGCAGCUGAGGUGCAGGACUCUUUCCUUGUCUGGAAUAUUGCAGUGCACUCCUGGGGAGCUGAGAAAUGCAUCUUGCAGGGCUGAACCUGCUAGGGGGCUGUAGCCUAGGCCAGGCUGGGGGGGAAGGUGUGGGGAGCAUCUGAGGGUAACAAAUGUAAAAUUGGGUGGGUCUGGCCUUGGGAGAAAGGAGAGAGCCACGUUCAGAGGGUUCUCCAAAGAGCCCUCAAAGUCCUGAUAAAGGAGGAGGCUGAGUUGAACAAGUUUUAAAAGGUUCUGUGACAGUAAGAUCUCUUCAAUGGAUCAGCCUGGCAGCAUCCUCUGUCCCAGCAGACUGACCUGGGGCCAGCUCAGGAACAUCUUGACUUCGAUAAACUUGUUUUUCCAGGCCCACUUCAGCUGUAACCCCCACAUUCCUGUUUGGGCUGAUGAGCUGGAGCAAGGAUGGGCUCC